RNA transcript from Equus caballus (horse), 1540 nucleotides. It is a transcript of the gene named class I histocompatibility antigen, Gogo-B*0102 alpha chain, with no coding region annotated. Lineage: Eukaryota; Metazoa; Chordata; Mammalia; Perissodactyla; Equidae. The record is from RefSeq and is a predicted model, not a curated record.
CGCGGUUUCCUGUUAUAAAGUCUGCACACACAGGCCUAGAUUCAGAUUCUCUCCAGACUCUUAGGAAACAGUCAUGGCGCUCCGAACCCUCCUCCUACUGCUCUCGGGGACCCUAGCCCUGACCGAGACUUUGGCGGGCUCCCACUCCAUGAGGUAUUUCCACACCGCCGUGUCCCGGCCCGGCCGCGGGGAGCCCCGGUACCUCGAAGUCGGCUACGUGGACGACACGCAGUUCGUGCGGUUCGACAGCGACGCCGCGAGUCCGAGGAUGGAGCCGCGGGCGCCGUGGGUGCAGCAGGAGGGGCCGGAGUAUUGGGAAGAAGAGACACGGCGCGCCAAGGACCUCAUACAGAAUUUUCGAAGGAACUUGCUGACCCUGAGGGACUACUACAACCAGAGCGAAGCCGGAUCUCACGCUUUCCAGUUGACCUAUGGCUGCGAGGUGGGAUCGCACGGGCCGCUCCUCCGCGGGUACUGGCAGUACUCCUACGACGGCGCCGAUUACAUCGCCCUGAAAGAGGACCUGCGCUCCUGGACCGCGGCGGACGCGGCGGCUCAGAUCACCCGGCGCAAGUGGGAGGCGUCCCUUGCACAUGAGCGCUUCAGGGGGUACCUGGAGGGCACGUGCGUGAAGUGGCUUCGCAGAUACUUGGAGAAUGGAAAGGAGAUGCUGCAGCGCACAGAGUCCCCAAAGACGCAUGUGACCCGCCACCCCAUCUCUGACCAUGAGGUCACCCUGAGGUGCUGGGCCCUGGGCUUCUACCCUGCGGAGAUCACCCUGACCUGGCAGCGUGAUGGGGAGGACCUAACCCAGGACACGGAGCUUGUGGAGACCAGGCCUGCAGGGGACGGGACCUUCCAGAAGUGGGCGGCCGUGGUUGUGCCUUCUGGAGAGGAGCAGAGAUACACGUGCCAUGUGCAGCACCAGGGACUCCCUGAGCCUGUCACCCUGAGAUGGAAGCCGCCUCUUGAGUCCACCAUCCUCAUUGUGGGAGUCAUUGCUGGCCUGGGUCUCCUUGUCGCUGUGGUGGCUGGAGCUGUGAUGUGGAGGAAGAAGCGCUCAGGUGGAAAAGGAGGGAGCUACACUCAGGCUGCGCGGUGACAGUGCCCUGAGCACAGAUGUGUCUCUCGCGGAUCCUAAAGGUGAGACCUUGGAGAGCCUGGGAGAGCAGUUGGGGCAGAAGGAACACAGUGUGAGACAGCUGCCUUGUGGCGACUGAGUGAUGCAAGAUUUGUUCAUGCCUCCCCCUCCCCAAUUGUGACUUCGGGAAUCUCUGACCUCGCUUUCUGCAAAUGGCAUCUGAAUGUGUCUGCGUUCCUGUUAGCGUAAUGUGAGGAGGUGGAGAGACUGCCCCCCCCGCCCCACCCACCAAGACCUCGUCCCCACACUGACAUUUCCUGUUUUCCCAUCUACUCUCCUUUUCCAGCAGAGGUGGGCUGAGAUGUCUCCAGCCUUGUCUUAACUUCACAUUGCACUGAGCUGCAAUGUCUUCCAUUUUGAAAAUGAGAAUCUGACUAUAAAUUUGUUUUUUCAAAUUCU